GCUGGAGUAGCUUAAUGGUAAAGCAGUGGUUUUGUAAACCACCGACGUGAGUCCGAUUCUCGCCUCCAGCU
Molecule: transfer RNA, 71 nt
Filed under: Candidatus Nealsonbacteria bacterium CG03_land_8_20_14_0_80_36_12
Lineage: Bacteria; Candidatus Nealsoniibacteriota
Description: tRNA-Thr
Rfam family: tRNA
About the family: Transfer RNA (tRNA) molecules are approximately 80 nucleotides in length. Their secondary structure includes four short double-helical elements and three loops (D, anti-codon, and T loops).
Source: RNAcentral